ACAAAUGUUAGAGCGUGUAGCUUACAUGCAGACACUUGUUAGGGCAGCCUAUACUAACCAGCUCAGAAAGAAUCCAAAAAUGACAAAAUCUGUCACCUCAGCAUUUUGUACAGCGCUUGGAAAUUUGAUUGCCCAACUAUUACAAAACACUAAGCUAUCAGACCUAGACAUCAUUGGUACUGCAAAGUAUUCUAGUUUUGGCUUUAUAAGCGCUCAAAUAAUUCACGCUUGGUACAAACUACUUGAAAAGUAUACUAGCAACCUACGCUAUGCAUUGCUCAUUCAGCUAUUCUUGGACCAAGCUAUUUUUUCUCCUAUCUACUUUGUCAUCUAUUACACUUAUAUGAGCCUAUUGAAUAAAAAUUUACGUUCGCUUCCCUCAAAGCUGGCCAAUGAACUAAUUCCCGUCUCCAUAGCAUCCGCGAAGUUAUGGAUUCCGGUGCAAUUUAUCACUUUCAAGUACAUACCUCAAGAAUUUCGUAUACUGUGGGGUAACCUUAUCGCAAUGAUCUGGAAUAUCUACUUUUGCAUGAGAGAGAAACAAAAGGCUUCAUGAAAAUUCAGGAAUUGCUUAAAGAAUAAUAGGACGUCAUCAUCUCUAACAGAAAUAGAAACACAAGGCAUGGCAAAAUUGUUCUACUUUUUCUUGUUUAAAAAAAUUCUCUAUUUUGAUCUGCUUGAAUAGAUACGAUAGGUUGAGAAGAGACAUAUCUGCCCUUUUUUUGUUGAAAAAAAUCUGCUUGAGAUGACUCUUUUUUCCAAUAACACCAAAAAAAGUGCGAAAGAAAGACUCUGCCUACGUGUAGGUUCUCUUAUAUGUUUAUAGCAAUUUACCUUUUUUCAACAUCCACACGUUUUAACGAGUAAAAAGGAUGUUGCAGCCACACACGCUCAUCUGGGCCAGAGGCACACUUCAGGUUGGACGCGUUGAAGCCACCCUCGCCGGUGCAAUAGCUGCGAGUGCGUUGAACACUUUAUGUGAAAAGAAUAGGUCAAGAGUGCUCGCCAAAUCUCGAGAUCGGAAUGUAUUGUCCUCUAUUCGUCAAAGACGAAAAGACAAAGGCUGAACGAGAUUUAGACUAAUAGACUAUUUGUAUUCUAAAUAAAAGGCAACGUUCUGUACGACAUGCCUAUGAAAUCAGAAAAA
This is a long non-coding RNA of Schistocerca gregaria, 1147 nucleotides long. RefSeq lists it as uncharacterized. The transcript has 3 exons. The record is from RefSeq and is a predicted model, not a curated record. NCBI's taxonomy places the organism in Eukaryota, Metazoa, Arthropoda, Insecta, Orthoptera, Acrididae.